This 76-nucleotide transfer RNA is filed under the name Streptococcus anginosus. RNAcentral's name for it is "tRNA-Thr". It matches the Rfam family "tRNA". From Rfam's summary of the family: Transfer RNA (tRNA) molecules are approximately 80 nucleotides in length. RNAcentral also lists the same sequence under 20 other names. The record is from RNAcentral. Lineage: Bacteria; Bacillati; Bacillota; Bacilli; Lactobacillales; Streptococcaceae.
GCCACCUUAGCUCAGUCGGCAGAGCGAUUCACUCGUAAUGAAUAGGUCGAGAGUUCGAUUCUCUCAGGUGGCUCCA